CGGUCCGGGAGGGGCCUGCGUAGUAUCAGCUUGUUGGUAGGGUAAUGGCCUACCAAGGCUACGACGCUUAGCUGGUCUGAGAGGAUGAUCAGCCACAAUGGAACUGAGACACGGUCCAUACUCCUACGGGAGGCAGCAGUAGGGAAUCUUCCGCAAUGGGCGAGGGCCUGACGGAGCGACACCGCGUGGAGGACGAAGGUCUUUUGAUUGUAAACUCCUUUUCUGAGGGAAUAAAUGAUGAAGGUACCUCAGGAAUAAGCACCGGCUAACUACGUGCCAGCAGCCGCGGUAAUACGUAGGGUGCAAGCGUUAUCCGGAAUUAUUGGGCGUAAAGCGUGCGAAGGCUGUUUAGUAAGUUUGAGGUUAAAUCUGGUGGCUCAACCAUCAAAUCGUCUCAAAAACUACUAAACUAGAGAAUGAUAGAGGCAACUGGAAUUCUGCGUGUAGGGGUAAAAUCCGUUGAUAUGCAGAGGAACACCAAAAGCGAAGGCAGGUUGCUGGGUCAUUUCUGACGCUGUUGCACGAAAGCGUGGGGAGCGAACAGGAUUAGAUACCCUGGUAGUCCACGCCGUAAACGAUGGAUACUCGGUUUUAGAGGGAAUCGACCCCCUUUUGAGCCUAAGCUAACGCGUUAAGUAUCCCGCCUGGGGAGUACGGUCGCAAGAUUAAAACUCAAAGGAAUAGACGGGGACCCACACAAGCGGUGGAGCAUGUGGUUUAAUUCGACAAUAAACGGGGAACCUUACCAAGGCUUGACAUCUCCGGAACUCAUUAGAAAUAUUGAGGUGCCGCAAGGAACCGGAUGACAGGUGCUGCAUGGUCGUCGUCAGCUCGUGCCUUGAGGUGUUCGGUUAAGUCCGUAAACGAGCGCAACCCAUGUCCCGUGUUGCAUUUUUCACAGGAGACUGCCGGCUUCAAGUCGGAGGAAGGUAUGGAUGACGUCAGAUCAGCAUGGCCCUUAUGCCUUGGGCCACACACGUGCUACAAUGGCCGGUACAAUGAGCAGCCAACCCGCAAGGGGGAGCCAAUCUCAUCAAAGCCGGUCUCAGUUCGGAUUGAAGGCUGCAAUUCGUCUUCAUGAAGUUGGAAUCGCUA
RNAcentral lists this ribosomal RNA (1095 nucleotides) under uncultured organism. RNAcentral's name for it is "bacterial SSU rRNA". It matches the Rfam family "Bacterial small subunit ribosomal RNA", at positions 216 to 1337 of the family's 1533-position model. The record is from RNAcentral.